RNAcentral lists this ribosomal RNA (252 nucleotides) under uncultured bacterium. RNAcentral describes it as "partial 16S ribosomal RNA". It matches the Rfam family "Bacterial small subunit ribosomal RNA", at positions 524 to 776 of the family's 1533-position model. The record is from RNAcentral.
UACGGAGGAUGCGAGCGUUAUCCGGAUUUAUUGGGUUUAAAGGGUGCGCAGGCGGCACGGCAAGCCGGCGGUCAAAUCGCGGGGCUCAACCCCGCCCAGCCGUCGGAACUGCCGGGCUAGAGUGGGCGAGAAGUACGCGGAAUGCGUGGUGUAGCGGUGAAAUGCAUAGAUACCACGCAGAACUCCGAUUGCGAAGGCAGCGUACCGGCGCCCAACUGACGCUGAAGCACGAAGGCGUGGGUAUCGAACAGG